Long non-coding RNA from Pristis pectinata (smalltooth sawfish), 342 nucleotides. RefSeq lists it as uncharacterized. The record is from RefSeq and is a predicted model, not a curated record. The transcript has 3 exons. NCBI's taxonomy places the organism in Eukaryota, Metazoa, Chordata, Chondrichthyes, Rhinopristiformes, Pristidae.
CGAUUCUGAGGCCUGAGGCAGGCAGUUGUGGUGGUGGUUUUUUGACUAGGCUCAAACAGUUGUGGAUAACAAUCAGAAGUGAAAGAGUUCUGGAUUCUUGGCAGUGAGGAAACUUCCCUCUAAUAGUGGAAGUCAGUAAAGUGCAAAACUCAACCCUCGAUGAAACUGAUCUUUUCUACAAAAAUUGACACAAGCAGAUGCUGAGAGGCUCACAAUUUAUGAGAAUUGGAGUCUUCCCUGCCCUACAAAUUUACAAAGGGCCUGCAAUAUGAUUACCGACAGCUGUGCAGAGGCCUGAUAAAUCACAUCAAGGAAUGGAAUUAGUGGGAAAAUAAACACUGG